GACGAACGCUGGCGGCGUGCUUAACACAUGCAAGUCGAACGGAAAGGCCCUGCUUUUGUGGGGUGCUCGAGUGGCGAACGGGUGAGUAACACGUGGGUAACCUGCCCUUGACUUUGGGAUAACUUCAGGAAACUGGGGCUAAUAACGGAUAGGAGCUCCUGCUGCAUGGUGGGGGUUGGAAAGUUUCGGCGGUUGGGGAUGGACUCGCGGCUUAUCAGCUUGUUGGUGGGGUAGUGGCUUACCAAGGCUUUGACGGGUAGCCGGCCUGAGAGGGUGACCGGCCACAUUGGGACUGAGAUACGGCCCAGACUCCUACGGGAGGCAGCAGUGGGGAAUAUUGCACAAUGGGCGGAAGCCUGAUGCAGCAACGCCGCGUGCGGGAUGACGGCCUUCGGGUUGUAAACCGCUUUCGCCUGUGACGAAGCGUGAGUGACGGUAAUGGGUAAAGAAGCACCGGCUAACUACGUG
RNAcentral lists this ribosomal RNA (468 nucleotides) under uncultured bacterium. RNAcentral describes it as "partial 16S ribosomal RNA". It matches the Rfam family "Bacterial small subunit ribosomal RNA", at positions 28 to 507 of the family's 1533-position model. The record is from RNAcentral.